CAGUCGCCGCGGGAAUACAGAGGGUGCGAGCGUUAAUCGGAUUUACUUGGCGUAAAGCGUGCGUAGGCGGCUUUUUAAGUCGGAUGUGAAAUCCCUGAGCUUAACUUAGGAAUUGCAUUCGAUACUGGGAAGCUAGAGUAUGGGAGAGGAUGGUAGAAUUCCAGGUGUAGCGGUGAAAUGCGUAGAGAUCUGGAGGAAUACCGAUGGCGAAGGCAGCCAUCUGGCCUAAUACUGACGCUGAGGUACGAAAGCAUGGGGAGCAAACAGGAUUAGAUACCCGCGUAGUCCCUGUCUCUUAUAC
Molecule: ribosomal RNA, 301 nt
Filed under: uncultured bacterium
Lineage: Bacteria
Description: partial 16S ribosomal RNA
Rfam family: Bacterial small subunit ribosomal RNA
Source: RNAcentral